RNAcentral lists this long non-coding RNA (4577 nucleotides) under Salvia miltiorrhiza (redroot sage). RNAcentral describes it as "long non-coding RNA (SMIL_LNC006554)". The record is from RNAcentral. Lineage: Eukaryota; Viridiplantae; Streptophyta; Magnoliopsida; Lamiales; Lamiaceae.
GAAAUUCCUCUCCGGAUUUAGUUUCCUUCACAUUCAACCUCUCUCUCUAGAUUUAUGCAUUUCCAGAAUCCCCUGCCUACAUUUUAGCUUAAUUUUCUCUGCCACUAUAUAAUUCUUGAAUUGCAAAGUAUAUCCUAUUUCUCGAGAAUCUAGAUCUAUUCCGUAAAGGUUGAUUAUUUGCUGAUACAGGCGAAUUUAGUAAGGAUUCUGGGUUUUUCGCAAUUCUAGUCAUUUGACAACAAGUUUUGAGUUUCCGAGCCGAAAAUAUCAAGCUUUUAGUCUAGAAAGUUGCGCGCUUUGUGUGCUUGAUUCUGGAUAGUCUGAGCUGAAUUGAACUGAAAAAAAAGGAAAGACAACCGGUGGAAGAAGACUCACACAUGUCACAGGUUUCUAUAGAUACAGAGAUAGUUGAAACGGUAGUCGUGUUCUGGAGGUUCGCACCUCUUUUAGAAAUCUGAGAGGCGUAAGGUGGCGUAUAGAUUUGGGGAUUUUACCAUCUUAUCCUUUUGGCCUCCGUCGACGAUCUCCGCCGGGUUACCGCCGAUUCUCGGAGAAGGUAAACACAUAGCUCUUCAUCUUGUAAGAAUUAAUUGUUAUGCGUAGUUUAGUUUUGGGACCAAUGAUUGAAGAGAUCGUGUCGCGUGUUACCCUUUUUGGUUGGUCGUCCUAAAUUGUCGGUCAUUUUUUUAAACUUUCGGGGUUGUAUUUAUUAUCUCCAAUUUAAUGCUUCAGUAUUUCAGUUUUGAUCGGUUUCAGCAAGUAUUGGGUUCUAAAAGGAUUAAAUCAACCCAUCAUCAUUUCUAUGUAGUUUUUGGUACUUAUUUUAGUCGGCUAUUUGAUUUAAAUCUGAAAGUAUAUAAAGUUGGGUGGAAUCAUCUCCUCAUAAGUUUCCGGAUGAAAACUGGAAGCGAGCCAGCAACAUCUCUGGAAUGAUGUUGGGGGGCCUCUUCUGGCCGCCUCUGUUUUGAUUUAAUCUUGAAUUGUAUUGAUGAUGAUGAUGAUGUAGGUAUGCUGCGUUAAGGAGGCAACUUCUAGUUGAUCCACAUGUGCCGAGAGAUGGAGGCAGCAGCUCUCCUGAUCGCGUCAUGGACAAUCCACUAUCCCAAAACCCAGGUGGGAUUUUCAUAAUAAUCUUCGUUAUUUCUACUUUCCNUCAUUCCCUUCUUUUUUAUUUGCCUCUAAAUUUUGACGGAGCCGUGAUCUACUUGAUUUCGGAUUUCUUGCUCUAUUUUUCCAUCAAAAUUUCAAGAUUUUUACUGUUUCUUCCCACGCCACAUGCUAUGUUUCUUCUUCAUUUACCAAAAAUUGAAUUAAUCAUUUAUACAAAUAAUUCAUGAAUGUGGUAGAACAAACUUCAGACAAAUAAAAUAAUAAUAACCUCCAUCUCAAUUAUUAAUUCCUCAGCACCCAUAGACUUAAGACAAAAAUAACCUUAAUUAAAAUAACCCUUUAACCAAAUCCUAAACAUAACCACAUCAACCACUUUCAAAAUGUUCAAAACAAUUUAAUGUUCAAAGAUAUACAGUUGGGAUUUUUUUAGAAGUAUAAAAUAAAAUAAACCCUAAUAUAGUAAUAUAAAAUUUACAUUGAGCAAUUGGGAUGUGGGUUUGAUAUUGUGGAAAUAUUUUAGAUAGACGCACUCAGAAAAUAUUAAAGCAAGAUCUAACUACUUCUACAAGUCACGAAAGCAUAUAGCGUCUGAGCAAACACAACCUUCUCAAAUGUAUAAUAUUGCAUAGAGGCAACAAUAUUGAUUAAUACGAAAUAAAUAAUCAUUUUAUGAGCUCGGUAGAUGAGAUUACAUAAUUGUUGGUCUUGUUCAAAGUUUCAAACUUCUAAUAAUUUGAUUUAGGUGGGAAUUUAGGGGUGGAGCAAAAUACUGAAAAAUCGGUAUACCGCACUUAUCGUACCGAAAAAAUACCGAAAAUACCGAAAUUUCGGUAUACCGAAAAUUUCGGUACGGUAUUGUACCGUACCGAAGAUUUUCGGUACGGCAACGGUAUCAUUUUCCUCAUACCGCGGUAUACCGAUAUAUACCGAUACCGCGGUAUAUGCCGAAAAAUCGGUAUAUACCACCGGUAUAUACCGAUAGUAUAUACCGAAAAAAUUCGUAUGCCGUCGGAAUCAAUUAUAUAUAUAUAUAUAUAUAUAUAUAUAUUAGUGGUAAAUUAUUUUUUUGCUUUGUUGAAAAUGUGGAGUUUAAUUGUUAGAAAGUUAUUUGUAUUUGUUUAAUGAAAUUUCAAUAUGUACAAAUAUACGGUAUAUCUUAAUGAUUUGGCAAUUUAGGCAUGAAACGAUAUAACAAUAAUUUCGGUAAUACAGUAAGGUAUGGUAUACCGACUUUCGGUAUGGUAUACCGCACUAUCGGUAUACCAUACUAUCGGUACGACAACGGUAUGAAAAUUCUCAUACCAAAAUUUUCGGUAUGCCGAUUUUCGGUAUACCGAAAAGUACGGUACGGCAACGGUAUGAAAAUUCUCAUACCGCAAUUUACGGUAUGGUAUACGGUAUGACGAAAAAUUUUCGGUAUACCGUACCGAUCCACCCCUAGGUGGGAUAACUUAAAAUACGAAACAAUAGCACGGUACGUAUUAUAAUAUAAAAAAUAAUUGAUUAAAUAUUUUUUACUUAUAUUAUUCGUAUCAUCAAUUCAUCAAAUGUCGAUACGAUAAUAAUUUUUUUUAUAUCUUAUUUUGUAAUAUCGAUUUUAUUAAUAUAUAACAUCGUUCAAUGUUAUUUUCUUUAUAUAAAUUUGAUUAAUAACAAUGUUAUUUUUGAUUUUAUCAUGUGUUGCGUCGACAUGGAAUACGACACAAUAAUACUCCCUCCGUCCGCCAAAAUUAUGUAAAAUUGCUUGGGCACGGGAUUUAAUAAAAUUAGUGAUGAUUUUGAUGUAGUGGAGAAAGGGUCCCACCACUUUAUGAGAUGUGUGGUUGAGAUUGAGUUUUGAGUGAGUUUUUUGUAAAUAAAGAGUGUUAGUAAGGAUAAAAUAUUAAAGAAGAUGGUGGGACCAUUGCCAUAAAAGGAAAGUGACAUAAUCUUGGCGGACGCCAAAUAUAGUAAUUUUUACAUAAUUUUGGCGGACGGAGGGAGAACAAAUUAUCACCCAUAAAAUGAUUGAGCAUUUUCCACCCAGUCUUUAAUGUAAUUUUUCUCAAUAAUACAGUUUACAGACAAUUAUUUAAAGGUAAAUAUAUUUGUAUACAUUUUCAAAGAAAUAGUUGUUUCUUGACGCAACUCAAGUACCACGCUAAAUAUUAAACUUUCAACGAAGGAGAUUAGACCAGCAACCGCAGAAAAAACCAUAAAGUUAGAUGCAAAUUCUUGGAAACUCAAGUUGAAACUCAGAGUUUUAAUUUGACAUAAGUCAACUAUAAAAAUAGUCUUAAUUAUCUUGGAUAAGUAGAAAAUGCUUUGUCUAAUCUAAUUCAUGAAUUUUCUUAGCUCUGCUGACUAUUUGAAUAUGGAUUAAUUGUAUAAGUAAAUAAGUAAUCAAUUAAUUUUUUAAUAGAGGUGAAUGAUUGCUCCAUUUUCGAUUGUGCACAAAAAGAAAAAGUUAGUGCAACAUGCGAUGGGUGUUGGUGACCUGCAACAUGCACAUAAAACAAGCCAACCUCCAUUAGCUUUUUUCUUUACACAUGAAAAACAAAUUUAUUAUUUUACUCUCUCUGUAUAUUAUGAUAAACAAUAAAGACUCACUGGAUUUUGUGAUUAGCUUCUAUUAUUUUUUUAAUAAGCGAGGAUGUACAUAUCAAAAUUAUAACAUCAUCUUUUUUGUUACAGCUAAGAGUAAACGGCACACAAGAAUAUUUGAAUAUAAUAUCAUUUACUCACACAAAAUAAAAUACUAUUACUCAUUUCAAGAUUAAGGGAUAUGUUAAGGGAAAAAAAUAGUUAAAUAAUCAUUUAACAAAUAAACGGGACUAUAGUUUUGAGACGAAUAAGAAAAAGAAACAAAAAAUUGAGGACGAAUGGAAAACAAAUACUACUACUACUAUUAAAUGAAGCGGAAAAGGGAAUUAUAUUUAUAUUUAUAUGAAAAGAAAAGCAGAAAACAUUCUUAAUCAAAAAAAAAAAACAGAAAUCAUUCAUUGGUUGGAAAUUGGAAUAUUAAAUUUAGUUGAAAAGGGCAUUUUCACCUAAUUAUUUUUUCCAUCCGAAAUUCCUCUCCGGAUUUAGUUUCCUUCACAUUCAACCUCUCUCUCUAGAUUUAUGCAUUUCCAGAAUCCCCUGCCUACAUUUUAGCUUAAUUUUCUCUGCCACUAUAUAAUUCUUGAAUUGCAAAGUAUAUCCUAUUUCUCGAGAAUCUAGAUCUAUUCCGUAAAGGUUGAUUAUUUGCUGAUACAGGCGAAUUUAGUAAGGAUUCUGGGUUUUUCGCAAUUCUAGUCAUUUGACAACAAGUUUUGAGUUUCCGAGCCGAAAAUAUCAAGCUUUUAGUCUAGAAAGUUGCGCGCUUUGUGUGCUUGAUUCUGGAUAGUCUGAGCUGAAUUGACUGAAAAAAAGAGAAAGACAACCGGUGGAAGAAGACUCACACAUGUCACAGGUUUCUAUAGAUACAGAGAUAGUUGAAACGGAGU